RNAcentral lists this ribosomal RNA (253 nucleotides) under uncultured bacterium. RNAcentral's name for it is "partial 16S ribosomal RNA". It matches the Rfam family "Bacterial small subunit ribosomal RNA", at positions 524 to 776 of the family's 1533-position model. The record is from RNAcentral.
UACGGAGGGUGCAAGCGUUAUCCGGAUUUAUUGGGUUUAAAGGGAGCGUAGGCGGGAUAGUAAGUCAGCGGUGAAAUCUUCCGGCUCAACCGGGAAACUGCCAUUGAUACUGCUAACCUAGAGUACACUUGAAGUGGGCGGAAUGUGUCAUGUAGCGGUGAAAUGCUUAGAUAUGACACAGAACACCAAUUGCGUAGGCAGCUCACUAAAUUGUAACUGACGCUGAGGCUCGAAAGCGUGGGGAUCAAACAGG